Molecule: ribosomal RNA, 919 nt
Filed under: Acinetobacter schindleri
Lineage: Bacteria; Pseudomonadati; Pseudomonadota; Gammaproteobacteria; Moraxellales; Moraxellaceae
Description: bacterial SSU rRNA
Rfam family: Bacterial small subunit ribosomal RNA
Source: RNAcentral
ACCUAGCGGCGGACGGGUGAGUAAUGCUUAGGAAUCUGCCUAUUAGUGGGGGACAACAUUCCGAAAGGAAUGCUAAUACCGCAUACGCCCUACGGGGGAAAGCAGGGGAUCUUCGGACCUUGCGCUAAUAGAUGAGCCUAAGUCGGAUUAGCUAGUUGGUGGGGUAAAGGCCUACCAAGGCGACGAUCUGUAGCGGGUCUGAGAGGAUGAUCCGCCACACUGGGACUGAGACACGGCCCAGACUCCUACGGGAGGCAGCAGUGGGGAAUAUUGGACAAUGGGCGCAAGCCUGAUCCAGCCAUGCCGCGUGUGUGAAGAAGGCCUUUUGGUUGUAAAGCACUUUAAGCGAGGAGGAGGCUCCUUUAGUUAAUACCUAAAGUGAGUGGACGUUACUCGCAGAAUAAGCACCGGCUAACUCUGUGCCAGCAGCCGCGGUAAUACAGAGGGUGCGAGCGUUAAUCGGAUUUACUGGGCGUAAAGCGUGCGUAGGCGGCUUUUUAAGUCGGAUGUGAAAUCCCUGAGCUUAACUUAGGAAUUGCAUUCGAUACUGGAAAGCUAGAGUAUGGGAGAGGAUGGUAGAAUUCCAGGUGUAGCGGUGAAAUGCGUAGAGAUCUGGAGGAAUACCGAUGGCGAAGGCAGCCAUCUGGCCUAAUACUGACGCUGAGGUACGAAAGCAUGGGGAGCAAACAGGAUUAGAUACCCUGGUAGUCCAUGCCGUAAACGAUGUCUACUAGCCGUUGGGGCCUUUGAGGCUUUAGUGGCGCAGCUAACGCGAUAAGUAGACCGCCUGGGGAGUACGGUCGCAAGACUAAAACUCAAAUGAAUUGACGGGGGCCCGCACAAGCGGUGGAGCAUGUGGUUUAAUUCGAUGCAACGCGAAGAACCUUACCUGGCCUUGACAUACUAAGAACUUUCCAGA